RNAcentral lists this long non-coding RNA (577 nucleotides) under Trifolium pratense (red clover). Its description in RNAcentral is "long non-coding RNA (TPRA_LNC010558)". The record is from RNAcentral. Lineage: Eukaryota; Viridiplantae; Streptophyta; Magnoliopsida; Fabales; Fabaceae.
AUAUUCUUAAUAUAUUUUCAUGCAAAAUGUAUUAGUUUAAUGAGCUACGGUAAUACACAUAUAUAUAUUUAUAGGAUAAAUGAAAGUGAGGUGUAUUAAUAAAAUAGCCGUUGGCACUUGAAGGCAUAAACUAGCCGUUGCAAUAUCUUUACCAUGAUAUGCUCAUAUUUAAUUGUGAAUGAAAUUCCAAAAAUACGCAGCAUGGCUGUAUCUCUUGCUCAACAUCAAUUAGAAAUUAAAAACAAGAUCGUUGAAUCAAAUGGUAGGCUAAUUGAUUAUGGUAAUAAUCAAAAUGGUUAUUGUUUAGAAAGAGAUCAUACUGAAACAAGUUGAAUGCAUAAAUAUAAUUGACAAGCUAAAAGAGCAAGUCCAUUGCUAAAAUAUAAUUAUGACCUUGUUCAAAAGCAUGUUCUAAAAUAUUUAACGAGAUAAAAAAAUAUGCAAUUUCCAAAACACAAUUUAUGCAAAAAUAUUUUUAUUCAAAAUCACAUUUAAAUAAAAAUUAAAGUGAGUGUGUGAUAUAUUAUUUUGAGAGCUAUUUUUACUACUCACAUAAGGAUCUUAAAAAAAUAUGGAU